UACAGAGGUCUCAAGCGUUGUUCGGAUUCAUUGGGCGUAAAGAGCUCGUAGGCGGUUCGGCAAGUCGGAUGUGAAAUCUCCACGCUUAACGUGGAGGGGCCAUUCGAAACUGCUGUGACUCGAGUCCGGUAGGGGAGUGUGGAAUUCCCGGUGUAGCGGUGAAAUGCGCAGAUAUCAGGAGGAACACCGGUGGCGAAGGCGGGUCUCUGGGCAGUAACUGACGCCGAGGAGCGAAAGCGUGGGGAGCGAACAGG
This 254-nucleotide ribosomal RNA is filed under the name uncultured bacterium. RNAcentral's name for it is "partial 16S ribosomal RNA". It matches the Rfam family "Bacterial small subunit ribosomal RNA", at positions 524 to 776 of the family's 1533-position model. The record is from RNAcentral.